GACGAACGCUGGCGGCGUGCCUAAUACAUGCAAGUAGAACGCUGAAGAGAGGAGCUUACUCUUCUUGGAUGAGUUGCGAACGGGUGAGUAACGCGUAGGUAACCUGCCUUGUAGCGGGGGAUAACUAUUGGAAACGAUAGCUAAUACCGCAUAACAAUGGAUGACACAUGUCAUUUAUUUGAAAGGGGCAAUUGCUCCACUACAAGAUGGACCUGCGUUGUAUUAGCUAGUAGGUGAGGUAAUGGCUCACCUAGGCGACGAUACAUAGCCGACCUGAGAGGGUGAUCGGCCACACUGGGACUGAGACACGGCCCAGACGCCUACGGGAGGCAGCAGUAGGGAAUCUUCGGCAAUGGGGGCAACCCUGACCGAGCAACGCCGCGUGAGUGAAGAAGGUUUUCGGAUCGUAAAGCUCUGUUGUAAGUCAAGAACAGGUGUGAGAGUGGAAAGUUCACACUGUGACGGUAGCUUACCAGAAAGGGACGGCUAACUACGUG
This 497-nucleotide ribosomal RNA is filed under the name uncultured bacterium. RNAcentral describes it as "partial 16S ribosomal RNA". It matches the Rfam family "Bacterial small subunit ribosomal RNA", at positions 28 to 507 of the family's 1533-position model. The record is from RNAcentral.